This 236-nucleotide long non-coding RNA is filed under the name Pan troglodytes (chimpanzee). RNAcentral describes it as "long non-coding RNA NONPTRT016478". The record is from RNAcentral. Lineage: Eukaryota; Metazoa; Chordata; Mammalia; Primates; Hominidae.
CACGUACGGGCCCCGCCCCUCGCGCGACGUGUUUUGUUGACCGGGAAACGGGUUCUCCGGAGCCAAGGUCCGCUCGGGCCCUACGUCUCCGCAAACCCCACGCUUCGGGGUGGCCGCCUCAGACAGGACCCUGAGUCCGAGACUGGGGUAGGGGACCUGCCCGAUCCUGUAACAACCCUCGUGCUUCUGCGCAAUCGCCUCCCACUAGCGGUGAGUGUUGGGUGUUUACCUUCCCG